AUUGAACGCUGGCGGCGUGCCUAACACAUGCAAGUCGUACGUGAAAGGGUCUUCGGACCCGAGUAAAGUGGCGCACGGGUGAGUAACACGUGGAUAAUCUACCGGGAAGUGAGGAAUAACAGCUGGAAACGGCUGCUAAUACCGCAUGAGCUUCAUAUUUAUCUAUGAAGGAAAGGGGGCCUCUGCAUAUGCUUCCGCUUUUCGAUGAGUCCGCGUCCCAUUAGCUAGUUGGUGAGGUAAAGGCCCACCAAGGCGACGAUGGGUAGCUGGUCUAAGAGGAUGAUCAGUCACAUUGGAACUGGAACACGGUCCAA
Molecule: ribosomal RNA, 314 nt
Filed under: uncultured bacterium
Lineage: Bacteria
Description: bacterial SSU rRNA
Rfam family: Bacterial small subunit ribosomal RNA
Source: RNAcentral